UAUAGUAAAAAGAGAUGUCGUAAGGGAAAAUAAUGAUAUUACCUUACUAAUAGUGUCGUCAAAAACUGGUGCCAGAAGACUCGGUAAGACCAGAGACGCAAACGUUAAUCAUCUUAAUCAGGCGUAAAGGGUUUGUAGGCUGCUUUGAAAAUCUUAAAUUUAUAUNNNCUAAGGCAAUUAGCCUGGUAAAAUUAGGAUCAAUUAAAGCUAGAAUCUAAUAGAGGUUAANNNNNNNNNNNNNNAUAAAAUAAUACUUAGAGGAGGGAUUAAAUCUUAGAUACUAAGGGGAAUACUUAGGGCGAAAGCAUUUUACCACUAAAGAUUGACGCUGAGAAACGAAGGUGAGGAUAGGAAAUAGGAUUAGAUACCCCGGUACCCCUC
This is a ribosomal RNA of 381 nucleotides. It matches the Rfam family "Bacterial small subunit ribosomal RNA", at positions 419 to 798 of the family's 1533-position model.